ACCCAAACAACUUCUUUAUAUAUAUAUAUAUAUAAACUGCCUAUGUAACAUAAAUAUAAACUAUUGUAGCAUAGAGGUCCUCCUACAUCAGUCCAAGAAACACAAUUCUAAUGAGUUUAUUGAUUAAAAGUUAUUUUUGUACUUAAAGAUUGGGGAUUUGAAUAACAUAAAAAUGCAGCAAAGUAAAGACUAAAUUUAGAGUGAAGAAGCAAAUAAAGGAAAACUGCAAAAGGAAGUUGUAAAAUUAUUACAUCAGACUAUACAAAACAAAACAUGAGACAAUUGAGGAAUAUAAAGGACUAAACGAUUCUAGUUGAUGCUUGGGACAACAAUGUAAUAGUGUUUAACAUAAUUUAAUUGUGU
Molecule: long non-coding RNA, 363 nt
Filed under: Vigna radiata
Lineage: Eukaryota; Viridiplantae; Streptophyta; Magnoliopsida; Fabales; Fabaceae
Description: long non-coding RNA (VRAD_LNC004020)
Source: RNAcentral